ACCAAGAGCUUGCUCAACAGAGAGGAGACACAGCUGCCAGGAAGCACCAGGUUCCCUGAAGAAGGGCCAUUUCUAAAAAUACCUGCUGACACAGGAGUGCUGGUCCCUCUUUGAGAACCCAGUCUCUGGGCUGGGGCCAUAUCUCCAGCUGAGGUGGGCUGGAAAGGAGCCCCCAGACAGCUCAGCUUAAGCCAUGGCCUCUGCACGCAUCUCAAUGCUUGCAAUUCUCUUCACACUGAGUGGGCUGAGAGCUCAGUCGGUGACUCAGCCAGAAGAUCAGGUCACUGUGACCGAAGGGGAUCCAAUGACUGUGAAGUGCACCUAUUCAAUUUCUGGGAGCCCUUAUCUCUUUUGGUACGUCCAGUUUCCCAACCAAGGCCUCCAGUUCCUUCUGAAAUACUUUACAGGGGACAGCCUGGUUAAAGGCAGCAAUGGUUUUGUGGCUGAAUUUAAUAAGAGCCAAACCUCUUUCCACCUGAAGAAAUCAUCUGCCCUCGGGAGUGACUCUGCUGUGUACUUCUGUGCUGGGAGUGACACAGUGGUGGGGGCUGCAGGGUGAGCUGAACACAAACCCCUGAGAACAGUAAAAACCAUUUCCCUGAAGCCUUUAUGUCCCUCCACAAGAGGGUGGUGUGGU
Diceros bicornis minor is the source of this 637-nucleotide non-coding RNA. The record is from the annotation of a RefSeq genome assembly. Lineage: Eukaryota; Metazoa; Chordata; Mammalia; Perissodactyla; Rhinocerotidae.